UCGGGGGCAGAACAACAGGGAUUGCCUUAGUAACGGCGAGUGAAGCGGCAACAGCUCAAAUUUGAAAGCUGGCCCUUUUAGGGUCCGCGUUGUAAUUUGUAGAGGAUGAUUCGGCGAGGGCUCCCGCCUAAGUCCCCUGGAACGGGGCGUCAUAGAGGGUGAGAAUCCCGUAUGCGGUGGGCUGCCUUAGCCAUGUGAAUCUCCUUCGACGAGUCGAGUUGUUUGGGAAUGCAGCUCUAAAUGGGAGGUAAAUUUCUUCUAAAGCUAAAUACCGGCCAGAGACCGAUAGCGCACAAGUAGAGUGAUCGAAAGAUGAAAAGCACUUUGGAAAGAGAGUUAAAAAGUACGUGAAAUUGUUGAAAGGGAAGCGCUUGCAACCAGACUUGUCCGCAGUUGCUCAGCCGGUCUCCUGACCGGCGUACUCUUCUGCGGCCAGGCCAGCAUCAGUUCGGGCGGUCGGAUAAAGACCUCGGGAAUGUAGCUCCUCUCGGGGAGUGUUAUAGCCCGGGGUGGAAUGCGGCCAGCCUGGACUGAGGAUCUCGCUUCGGCAAGGAUGCUGGCGUAAUGGUUGUAAGCGGCCCGUCUUGAAACACGGACCAAGGAGUCUAACAUCUAUGCGAGUGUUUGGGUGUCAAACCCAUACGCGUAAUGAAAGUGAACGGAGGUGGGAACCCGCAAGGGUGCACCAUCGGCCGAUCCUGAUGUCUUCGGAUGGAUUUGAGCAAGAGCAUAGCUGUUGGGACCCGAAAGAUGGUGAACUAUGCCUGAAUAGGGUGAAGCCAGAGGAAACUCUGGUGGAGGCUCGCAGCGGUUCUGACGUGCAAAUCGAUCGUCAAAUUUGGGUAUAGGGGCGAAAGACUAAUCGAACCAUUAACAUUGGUAGUUCUUUGUUUUCAAAGAAGGCUGCUAGGUGGUUGAGAGGUAACUAAAAGUGUUUACCUAGUCCCUUCAUCGGGGCGACACUGUCAAAUUGUUCGGGGACGUCCUUAGAGCUUAGACUACCGCGGCCGGCCGAAAGGUCCGGCGCAGCACCAGGGUAAUGACCUCGGGGAUGGUAAUAACGUCUAAGAUUGGGCAAUCCGCAGCCAAGCUCCUAAGUCCGGUAGAACGGAUACGGAGAAGGUUCACAGACUAGAUGGCAGUGGGUUCGGCCUUUGACGGGCCGGGUCUAAGAUAUAGUCGAUCCCCUACGGAAACGUAGGCGGUGGGGCAAAGCCCGCCAGGCAGAUGAGUGCGUCGGAAGAGGCACGCCUGGAGGGCCCGAACCCUGUCGGGGAGCCGCAGCGCCCCUGCAGCUAGCCC
This 1302-nucleotide ribosomal RNA is filed under the name Diplodia magnoliigena. RNAcentral describes it as "partial large subunit ribosomal RNA". It matches the Rfam family "Eukaryotic large subunit ribosomal RNA", at positions 47 to 1866 of the family's 3401-position model. The record is from RNAcentral. Lineage: Eukaryota; Fungi; Ascomycota; Dothideomycetes; Botryosphaeriales; Botryosphaeriaceae.